CUGAGUGCGGGCCCUCCGGGUCCAACCUCCCACCCGUGUCUAUCGUACCUUGUUGCUUCGGCGGGCCCGCCUGCUGGCCGCCGGGGGGCCUCCGCCCCCGGGCCCGCGCCCGCCGAAGACACCGCCGAACUCUGUCUGAAGAUUGUGGUCUGAGCGAUUUACGAAAUUAGUUA
This 173-nucleotide unclassified non-coding RNA is filed under the name uncultured Penicillium. Its description in RNAcentral is "sequence contains ITS1". The record is from RNAcentral. Lineage: Eukaryota; Fungi; Ascomycota; Eurotiomycetes; Eurotiales; Aspergillaceae.